GGAAUAUAAGAAACCGUCUUUUAACUUUUAACUAAAAAAACUAAAAAUCGGUUCUUAAAUAAGAGUUUUAAGAGCUGGUUCUUAACUUUUUUAGUUAAAAACUAAAAAACGGAUUCUUAUAUUCC
This 125-nucleotide microRNA precursor is filed under the name Brassica napus (rape). RNAcentral's name for it is "MIR9563 microRNA precursor family". It matches the Rfam family "MIR9563 microRNA precursor family". The record is from Rfam by way of RNAcentral. Lineage: Eukaryota; Viridiplantae; Streptophyta; Magnoliopsida; Brassicales; Brassicaceae.